AUAAUGAUACUUCGGCUUGGCUUAACAUGAUGUUGAGGAGUCGCUCGGCUGAUAGCGGAGAGGUGAGAUUCCUAUGU
Clostridium sp. 27_14 is the source of this 77-nucleotide non-coding RNA. The record is from Rfam. Lineage: Bacteria; Bacillati; Bacillota; Clostridia; Eubacteriales; Clostridiaceae.